UCCCUGGUGGUCUAGUGGUUAGAACUCAGAACUUUCACAGCUGUGGCCCAGGCUAAAUUCCUGGUCUGGGAA
Molecule: transfer RNA, 72 nt
Filed under: Sus scrofa (pig)
Lineage: Eukaryota; Metazoa; Chordata; Mammalia; Artiodactyla; Suidae
Rfam family: tRNA
About the family: Transfer RNA (tRNA) molecules are approximately 80 nucleotides in length. Their secondary structure includes four short double-helical elements and three loops (D, anti-codon, and T loops).
Source: Rfam by way of RNAcentral